RNAcentral lists this ribosomal RNA (536 nucleotides) under Microbacterium sp. 14III/A01/011. RNAcentral describes it as "bacterial SSU rRNA". It matches the Rfam family "Bacterial small subunit ribosomal RNA", at positions 343 to 889 of the family's 1533-position model. Lineage: Bacteria; Bacillati; Actinomycetota; Actinomycetes; Micrococcales; Microbacteriaceae. The record is from RNAcentral.
GGGAGGCAGCAGUGGGGAAUAUUGCACAAUGGGCGGAAGCCUGAUGCAGCAACGCCGCGUGAGGGAUGACGGCCUUCGGGUUGUAAACCUCUUUUAGCAGGGAAGAAGCGGAAGUGACGGUACCUGCAGAAAAAGCGCCGGCUAACUACGUGCCAGCAGCCGCGGUAAUACGUAGGGCGCAAGCGUUAUCCGGAAUUAUUGGGCGUAAAGAGCUCGUAGGCGGUUUGUCGCGUCUGCUGUGAAAUCUGGGGGCUCAACCCCCAGCCUGCAGUGGGUACGGGCAGACUAGAGUGCGGUAGGGGAGAUUGGAAUUCCUGGUGUAGCGGUGGAAUGCGCAGAUAUCAGGAGGAACACCGAUGGCGAAGGCAGAUCUCUGGGCCGUAACUGACGCUGAGGAGCGAAAGGGUGGGGAGCAAACAGGCUUAGAUACCCUGGUAGUCCACCCCGUAAACGUUGGGAACUAGUUGUGGGGUCCAUUCCACGGAUUCCGUGACGCAGCUAACGCAUUAAGUUCCCCGCCUGGGGAGUACGGCCGC